GAUGAACGCUGGCGGCGUGCCUAAUACAUGCCAGUCGAGCGAACAGACGAGGAGCUUGCUCCUCUGACGUUAGCGGCGGACGGGUGAGUAACACGUGGAUAACCUACCUAUAAGACUGGGAUAACUUCGGGAAACCGGAGCUAAUACCGGAUAAUAUAUUGAACCGCAUGGUUCAAUAGUGAAAGACGGUUUUGCUGUCACUUAUAGAUGGAUCCGCGCCGCAUUAGCUAGUUGGUAAGGUAACGGCUUACCAAGGCAACGAUGCGUAGCCGACCUGAGAGGGUGAUCGGCCACACUGGAACUGAGACACGGUCCAGACUCCUACGGGAGGCAGCAGUAGGGAAUCAUCCGCAAUGGGCGAAAGCCUGACGGAGCAACGCCGCGUGAGUGAUGAAGGUCUUCGGAUCGUAAAACUCUGUUAUUAGGGAAGAACAAAUGUGUAAGUAACUAUGCACGUCUUGACGGUACCUAAUCAGAAAGCCACGGCUAACUACGUG
Molecule: ribosomal RNA, 497 nt
Filed under: uncultured bacterium
Lineage: Bacteria
Description: partial 16S ribosomal RNA
Rfam family: Bacterial small subunit ribosomal RNA
Source: RNAcentral